This 277-nucleotide RNase P RNA is filed under the name Ligilactobacillus salivarius. RNAcentral's name for it is "Lactobacillus salivarius partial RNase P RNA component class B". It matches the Rfam family "Bacterial RNase P class B", at positions 98 to 365 of the family's 365-position model. From Rfam's summary of the family: Ribonuclease P (RNase P) is a ubiquitous endoribonuclease, found in archaea, bacteria and eukarya as well as chloroplasts and mitochondria. Its best characterised activity is the generation of mature 5'-ends of tRNAs by cleaving the 5'-leader elements of precursor-tRNAs. Cellular RNase Ps are ribonucleoproteins. The record is from RNAcentral. Lineage: Bacteria; Bacillati; Bacillota; Bacilli; Lactobacillales; Lactobacillaceae.
GGCAAGGUACUGCUUUUAGUAGUGACGGCAGACAAAAGAGCUAAGGUUUCGGCUAUGCUUGAGUAGUCUUGAAAAGUGCCACAGUGACGAAGUAAUAUAGGAAACUGUAUUAGUGGAACGCGGUAAACCCUGCGAGCAGGUAACCCAAACUUUGGUAGGGGCGCUUCAUGACGGAAAUGAACUAAUCAUGGGGGCGAGUUUUUAACUCGGAGAUAGAUGAUUACCACCGAUUCUAAUUUUCCUGAAUUAGAUGACGUACAGAACGUGGCUUAUAGAG